CCUACGGGAGGCUGCAGUGAGGAAUAUUGGUCAAUGGACGGAAGUCUGAACCAGCCAUGCCGCGUGCAGGAAGACGGCUCUAUGAGUUGUAAACUGCUUUUGUACAAGGGUAAACCUGAAUACGUGUAUCCAGCUGAAAGUACUGUACGAAUAAGGAUCGGCUAACUCCGUGCCAGCAGCCGCGGUAAUACGGAGGAUCCAAGCGUUAUCCGGAUUUAUUGGGUUUAAAGGGUGCGUAGGCGGAUUUUUAAGUCAGCGGUAAAAUGUUCGGGCUCAACCCGGGCCGGCCGUUGAAACUGGGGGUCUUGAGUGCGCGAGAGGUAUGCGGAAUGCGUGGUGUAGCGGUGAAAUGCAUAGAUAUCACGCAGAACUCCGAUUGCGAAGGCAGCAUACCGGCGCCCGACUGACGCUGAGGCACGAAAGCGUGGGGAUCGAACAGGAUUAGAUACCCCAGUAGUC
Molecule: ribosomal RNA, 459 nt
Filed under: uncultured bacterium
Lineage: Bacteria
Description: partial 16S ribosomal RNA
Rfam family: Bacterial small subunit ribosomal RNA
Source: RNAcentral